This 812-nucleotide small RNA is filed under the name Pan troglodytes (chimpanzee). RNAcentral's name for it is "sense overlapping". The record is from RNAcentral. Lineage: Eukaryota; Metazoa; Chordata; Mammalia; Primates; Hominidae.
GACAAGAUAUUUAGGUGACUUACAGCAACCAAUUGCAACAAAACAAAAUGUUAAGAAAUGAUCUUUUUAUGAGGCAAUUGGAAAUUUGAACACUGAUCAACUAUAGGAUGAUUGGAAUUAUUAAUUUUGUAAAGGUGUGAUAAGAUACUGCACUUGGCUGGGCACAGUGGCACAUGCCUGUAAUCCCAGCUACUUGGCAGGCUGAGGUGGGAGAAUCGCUUGAGCUCAGGAGUUCAAGACCAGCCUGGGCAACGUGGCGAAAUCCCCGUCUUUAGAAAAACAAACAAACAAACAAAAAAGUUAUUGCAGUUGUGUUGUAAGCGUCCUUAUCUUUCAGAGCUACAUAGUGGAAUGUUUAUGGAAUAUUUAGGAUAAAUGAUAUAGGCAUUUGGGAUUUGCUGCAAAAUGACCCAGAGGCAGGGGUCAGGGGGAGAGGUAGAGAUGAGACAAGAGGUAGAGGGGAGAGGUAGAGGUAGCCACGAGCUGAUAAUUACAGACAAGAGAUGCGGAGUAUGUGGGGGCUCAUUAUCCUGCAUAGUCUAUCUUUGUAUAUCUUUGAACUUUUCAAGAAUAAAAAAGCUUAAAAAGUAUACAUGGCCUGGUCCUACCAGAGACUCACCCAAUGCCAGCCUCCAGCCAGGGAGAGCCAAGUUUGCAUUUUCACACGCAUCUCACACUCCUCUGCACUCUCAACUUGGAGAGCUCCAAACAGGGAAACCCCAAGCCUUGCUGGCUUCUGCCAACCCCCUGAGCAGAAGCAUGGGUCCCCCUGAUCACCACCUCACCACCCUCAUCCUGAUCUCACUGUACAC